ACCUGUGUCAAAGGGGAGUAGCGGUUGGAUUAAAAUCCAAAAGUCAGGUCGUCAUUCCAUGGUAAUUACCAUCGGCCUUACUGGCAUGAAGAUGCUAUGCGAGACCUUUGCCUUCUAUAGGCAGGGGUCUCGUGUU
Molecule: small RNA, 136 nt
Filed under: Ornithinibacillus halophilus
Lineage: Bacteria; Bacillati; Bacillota; Bacilli; Caryophanales; Bacillaceae
Description: Manganese sequence
Rfam family: Manganese Mn2+ riboswitch aptamer (yybP-ykoY) (bases 1-96)
About the family: This RNA was originally discovered in E. coli during a large scale screen and was named SraF.
Source: RNAcentral